RNAcentral lists this small RNA (99 nucleotides) under Stutzerimonas balearica. RNAcentral describes it as "Pseudomonas balearica Guanidine-I sequence". It matches the Rfam family "Guanidine-I riboswitch aptamer". Rfam says of the family: This family represents a conserved RNA structure found upstream of the ykkC and yxkD genes in Bacillus subtilis and related genes in other bacteria. The function of this family is unclear although it has been suggested that it may function to switch on efflux pumps and detoxification systems in response to harmful environmental molecules. Nelson showed that this riboswitch senses and responds to guanidine and it was renamed Guanidine-I riboswitch. Lineage: Bacteria; Pseudomonadati; Pseudomonadota; Gammaproteobacteria; Pseudomonadales; Pseudomonadaceae. The record is from RNAcentral.
AAAAUGGCCGACUAGGGUUCCGGCUCGCCUGGCGAGUGACUGGUCCGAGAGUUGGCGACCUCCAGCGAGGUUACACGGCGGGAUAAAAGCCCGGGAGAA